AGGGGAGGUGAUGAAAAAAAAAAAGUGCCUGAAAUGGAAAUAUGUCACCCUGACCUGGAGCUUUUCUGCAUUUUGUAAUGCACUAGAAAUACUGGCAUCAUUAGCAUUAAAUCUCUCUGAAAAUGAUCUAAAAAUGCAACUAAUCAUUGAAGGUUUUACUGCUUCUGGGCUUCGUAAUCUAAAAAUGCUCUUCAAAAAAGUCCCUCUCCCUGACUUUUGUUUUUCUUUUUUUUUUUAAAGAAAGGAAGUCUUUCGUCUUGCUGAGCGAGUGCUGACUGAAAGAAGCGAGUGUGUGUGUGUGUGUGUGACUGUGCGCACCAGUGUCUCUCACACAGUCUGUGCGCAGAGCAGAGUACUCGGAUCGCGCUCCACCAGCAGCCUCUCGUUGCUCUCAUUUGAGCACGCGGCUCGCGGCACACACACACGCACUUUCUCUCUCUCCUUCUCCUCUUUUUCUCCUGCAUUCGGACUCCAACUGAGAGAGGAUUUAACACACGCGGCUAGUUGUGGAGGACAUCCUGAGCCCCUAAAAACACGAGAUGUUUCUCCUAGCUGCUCCCGCAGACAGGAAUCCGCUCACAGAGACGAGAGCCACGCUCUCCCCUAGGAGAGGAGUACAAAGGCCAGUCUGAUGCAAAACCAAGUCCAUCUGCUGUUGCCACAUGGAGAUUGAAAAGUGAGGGGAGCAUUCACGCAGACACCGCUGGAACAUGAGCGUGGAACCCACUGUUGGUAAACGGGAGAGACGUGAACGAGCAGAUUAUAAAUACAAAAGACUGACGGCUUUGGACCGCAAGGUCAAUGAGGACAAACAAUUCCAGCAGCGGCUCUCGAGCGCAUGCAGAAGAAAGUGUCGGGUGAUGGGGGAUGGACUCGUGUGGUGGCAGAGCUGGUGUCUCCGAGCGCUGGCAUAAUUUCCAUGGCAGCCCUUCUUACUAUUAACUUUCAAUUAAAGCAUACACAAAAAUGCCCUGCCCCAAGCCUCUGGAAUGUGUCAAGAGGGGGAAACCAUGUCUUUUUGGAGCCACAACACCACUGAGAUCAUUCAUAGUGACAAAAAUCACACCACUGAACAUCUAAGCCCUGCUUUUAUUUCACAAUCACACCAGUGAGAACACCAAAACCACAAAUGAAACUCAUGCAUGCUAAACAUUAGUGAUUAAUGGGAUAUGAUGUGAACCAUUAUGUCCCUUGAUGGAUUAACAGAGGUGUUACCUCCCCCUUGUGUCAGUUUUUCUAAUAAAAAAAAUAUUUUUACAAUUUUUGGAUGAAUUUUAGUAACACUGUAUUAAACAAGGUGCACAAAGUUAAUUUGCAGCCAUUUAAUUUUACUACUCAUAAAAUUGGCUAAAAAAGUCUGAGAUCUCUGAGUAAAAUAUUAAUAAUUUUUUGAUAAAUUAUAACUUGUUGGAAAAAAUAAAUAAAAUACCUUACUACCACAU
Molecule: long non-coding RNA, 1442 nt
Organism: Carassius auratus (goldfish)
Lineage: Eukaryota; Metazoa; Chordata; Actinopteri; Cypriniformes; Cyprinidae
Exons: 3
Source: RefSeq, a predicted model, not a curated record